GUGACUGGUUGAGGAACAGGCACAAGGAUUUUCAUUAAUAUUUGGUAUAUGAAUGUACAUAUUAUGUACUACACAGAUGUUCUAAUAAGUGAAAAAUCACUUGGUACAUCAAUGAUGUAGACACUGGAAAAGAGGAAAGGUGCAUUUGUGUUAAACCCUGUGGCUAUAAGCCUUAAGAUUUAGAAACUCUUUUGAAAAUAAAAGCCAAUCUCAGAAUCUGGAGAGAAAUUGGGCUGAGAGACAGGGGAGAUGGAACCCCGAUGACAGUGUCUGAACCACUGAGUGCAGCCAGGCAUGAAGUCAAAGCCCUCUGGUGCACAACGCAUAUUGUUCCAAGCUAUGUUAAAGCCAAUUUCAUAGACUUUCUCGUGACUGCAGUGGAAAGAGUCCUGAGAGACUCAGUAGGAGAUUAACCAAGAGGGAGGCCCUGAAUCUGUGACCAGAGUGGGGUCAUGUGCGGAGAAAUGUGCAAGACCUAAGAACUGCUAAGGUGGCACUAGGUAACCUGAGGCAGGAGGCUGCACCCUGGCAAGUCAGCAAAGACAGAUUUGGGACAGACUGAUCUGAGUUUUCAUACCAGCUCUUACUAGUUCAAUAAGUUGGACAAAGUCAACAUUCUGCUCUCAGUUUGGCCACCUCUGAAGUGGGGAAAAGAUACCAGCAGGUUCGUUCUCAGAAGGAAGAUGCUGCAUGUCAACUCCCCGCACAGAAUUAGCCAGACUGUGUUUCCCUAGUUGCUGCUGGUUCCUGGUACCAUGGACAACAGUACCAGAGCUGCUGUAACAAAGCUGUUCCAAUUUACUGCUCACAUUGCUUGGAUUUUCUUUUCUCCUGACCACCUCUUCCUUUUGUCUCUCUUACUACCAAUCCUACUGGUUUCAGCAGAAAGUAACAACAAGUGCCCGCUGCUUGAGCGUGGACUCAGCUGUCACAUGUUGCACACAUCACUUGACUCUUGACAGUAAUAAUUUGAAGCAGGUGGCACCAUGCUAUGCUUUCAGUGUGUGUCCCAAUGUUCAUGUACUCAAUUUCAAACUUAUGGGCAUGGCAUCUGGGGGGAGCCUUUCGGAGUUACCUGUGUAACCGAAGAAGCGGUAAGACUUCAGUUACAAUAGGAAGGAGUGGAAACUGACCCAGGAGUGCCAGAGGAGAGAAGAUAUCCAAUUACAGCUCUUCCUGGGAUACAGCUGCCUCUUGUCAAGUGCUUGAUAGCUGAAGCCAAGCCUCUGCUCAGGGCAACAAAAGUGACGGAUUGAUAUUCUGGCUUUUCCACCCAAAGCUUCAUGUGGUCAUGGGUAGGGCUUUUCAGGGGUGGCUGGAUCUAGAGUGUGUGAUGCUGGGACCAAUUCAUGGUGUGAUGAUAGGAUCAAGGGCACCAAGAAUAAGGGUGUGAGUGCUACUUCCCUCCCCCAAGCAGCCAACACAGAAGGGAUAGAAAGAGCUGUGGUCUCCCUGGAUUGCUUUGCUACCUUGUGUGCAUGAAUUUUUUCUCCUCUUCAAUGCCUGUCUGCCAAGCCACCCUGC
This is a long non-coding RNA of Octodon degus (degu), 1524 nucleotides long. RefSeq lists it as uncharacterized. The record is from RefSeq and is a predicted model, not a curated record. The transcript has 3 exons. Lineage: Eukaryota; Metazoa; Chordata; Mammalia; Rodentia; Octodontidae.